AUACGGAGGAUGCGAGCGUUAUCCGGAUUUAUUGGGUUUAAAGGGAGCGUAGAUGGAUGUUUAAGUCAGUUGUGAAAGUUUGCGGCUCAACCGUAAAAUUGCAGUUGAUACUGGAUAUCUUGAGUGCAGUUGAGGCAGGCGGAAUUCGUGGGGUUGCGGUGAAAUGCUUAGAUAUCACGAAGAACUCCGAUCGCGAAGGCAGCUCACCGGGCCGGAACUGACACUGAUGCUCGAAAGUGCGGGUAUCAAACAGGAUUAGAUACCCUGGUAGUCCGCACAGUAAACGAUGAAUACUCGCUGUUUGCGAUACACUGUAAGCGGCCAAGCGAAAGCGUUAAGUAUUCCACCUGGGGAGUACGCCGGCAACGGUGAAACUUAAAGGAAUUGACGGGG
Molecule: ribosomal RNA, 393 nt
Filed under: uncultured bacterium
Lineage: Bacteria
Description: partial 16S ribosomal RNA
Rfam family: Bacterial small subunit ribosomal RNA
Source: RNAcentral